UACGUAGGGGGCAAGCGUUGUCCGGAUUUACUGGGCGUAAAGGGCGCGUAGGCGGCAAUUCAAGUCAUCUGUGAAAUCUCCGGGCUUAACUCGGAACGGUCAGAUGAUACUGCUUUGCUAGAGUGCGGAAGGGGCAAUCGGAAUUCUUGGUGUAGCGGUGAAAUGCGUAGAUAUCAAGAGGAACACCUGAGGUGAAGACGGGUUGCUGGGCCGACACUGACGCUGAUGCGCGAAAGCCAGGGGAGCAGACGGG
Molecule: ribosomal RNA, 253 nt
Filed under: uncultured bacterium
Lineage: Bacteria
Description: partial 16S ribosomal RNA
Rfam family: Bacterial small subunit ribosomal RNA
Source: RNAcentral